This is an RNA transcript of Sciurus carolinensis (gray squirrel), 1542 nucleotides long. It is a transcript of the gene named insulin growth factor-like family member 4, with no coding region annotated. The transcript has 6 exons. NCBI's taxonomy places the organism in Eukaryota, Metazoa, Chordata, Mammalia, Rodentia, Sciuridae. The record is from RefSeq and is a predicted model, not a curated record.
UCCAUACCCUGAUAUUAGCCACAGUCCAAGGUUCCAGAUAGCUGUUCUACUUCUCUGCCUCCCUCUGCUCUGCAGCCUAACCAGAACCAUGCUGUUCAGAAUUUUUGCUGCUGUCUUCCUUGCUGAACUCCUGGGCUCGGGCUCAGGCGUCACAGACACUGGCCCAUGGCUGUGCCAGCCAGCGCCCAGGUGUGGGAACCAGACCUACGACCCCUUGGAGCAGUGCUGUGACAAUGACACCAUCCUGCCCCUGAAUGCAACCCGGCUGUGUGUCCCCAACUGCAUCUUCUAUCCCUGCUUCCAGCACUGCUGCCUGGAGUCCCCGGGCUCUCAGAAUCAGGCAGUGGUGACAUUCAAGGUCCCAGGCAUGAAGCCCGACUGCAGGUCCUCCCCCAUCUCCAGGAUUUGUGCCCAGAUCCAAGACCCAGAACUGAAGAUAUCAACAACUCAGAAAGAGUAAUGGAAGAACACCAACAAGUCAUGUCUGUAAGUCCUCCCUCUAGCCAAAGGACCAGGAAAAGGAAGUCUAACAAGACAUGCAAUUUUUGGACAAUAAUGGCUUUACUCCUGCCAAACAUCAGCAAAGUUGCUUGCAGGACUGGCUGAGAAAGAUGCAUCUGGUUGGGAACUCAGAAGGGCAGGGACAGAAGAGAUUGUGUGGAGACUGAACCCAAGACCAGGAAACAUGGGGUCCAAAGAUGAUGUAGAGGACUAAGAAUUGGCUCCCCCACCAAAUGAGUGGAACCCAGGGGAGAUUCUCUGGGGUGAAGUCCUCCAGCAUGGACCAGCAAGUAGUGGGCACUGGAGGAAUUCCACCUAUGGGAUGACCUCUCUCACUCCACGAUCCAGAGGGUGGAGCAUCACACCCCAGAAGACCCCACCUAAUACUGCUGAGAGGAGAAGCUGGGAACAUUUUUUACUCCAAUGGCAAGAAUUCUUUAACUUUUCAUCAAGAACUUCUUUUGCUUUUAUUUUUUGUUUGUUUGUUUGCUUACUUUUUCUCUGUUUACCCGUGAACUUAGUGGUACGUGUACAUUUAUACAUUUUUAUGUUUGUGGGUUUGUUCUCAUUUCUAGAAUUUUGACUGAUUAGUUUUGACUGAUUUUUCACUGAUUAGUUUUUGUGAACUAGGAUGUGUGAUUAGAAUAUUUUUAUUUUGUUUUGCCUUAUUUUUAUUUUUAAAAUUUUAAAAUCAUGUUUAUUUUUCUCCUACCUUUAUCUCUUUAUUCUCUUUUCUUCUGGUAACAGCCAAUCUCUAUUGUUCUCUCCUUCACUCUUCCUUUAAUUUUUUACUUCAUCUUCUCUCCUCACUCAUAAUCAUCAAAUCCUGUAUCACUUCUGCUCUCCCUCUGGCCAUCAUUUGAAAUUGUAAACCAUUUUGCAAACUUGAUGUUUUUAUUCUAGGCAAUAACUGAUCAUAUCAUUUCUGUUUACUGUGAUAAUUAACAUUUUAGACAUCAUAGAAGUAACUAUUUGGUUUAAUACUGUACAUUGUUUGCAUUGGUUGUUAUUAUUUGACUCCCCCUAAACAGCAAGGUAUUG